RNAcentral lists this ribosomal RNA (497 nucleotides) under uncultured bacterium. Its description in RNAcentral is "partial 16S ribosomal RNA". It matches the Rfam family "Bacterial small subunit ribosomal RNA", at positions 28 to 507 of the family's 1533-position model. The record is from RNAcentral.
GAUGAACGCUGGCGGCGUGCCUAAUACAUGCAAGUCGAGCGAACAGACGAGGAGCUUGCUCCUCUGACGUUAGCGGCGGACGGGUGAGUAACACGUGGAUAACCUACCUAUAAGACUGGGAUAACUUCGGGAAACCGGAGCUAAUACCGGAUAAUAUAUUGAACCGCAUGGUUCAAUAGUGAAAGACGGUUUUGCUGUCACUUAUAGAUGGAUCCGCGCCGCAUUAGCUAGUUGGUAAGGUAACGGCUUACCAAGGCAACGAUGCGUAGCCGACCUGAGAGGGUGAUAGGCCACACGAGAACUGAGACACGGUCCAGACUCCUACGGGAGGCAGCAGAAGGGAAUCUUCCGCAGUGGGCGAAAGCCUGACGGAGCAACGCCGCGUGAGUGAUGAAGGUCUUCGGAUCGUAAAACUCUGUUAUUAGGGAAGAACAAAUGUGUAAGUAACUAUGCACGUCUUGACGGUACCUAAUCAGAAAGCCACGGCUAACUACGUG